GACGAACGCUGGCGGCGUGCCUAAUACAUGCAAGUUGAGCGCUGAAGGUUGGUACUUGUACCGACUGGAUGAGCAGCGAACGGGUGAGUAACGCGUGGGGAAUCUGCCUUUGAGCGGGGGACAACAUUUGGAAACGAAUGCUAAUACCGCAUAAAAACUUUAAACACAAGUUUUAAGUUUGAAAGAUGCAAUUGCAUCACUCAAAGAUGAUCCCGCGUUGUAUUAGCUAGUUGGUGAGGUAAAGGCUCACCAAGGCGAUGAUACAUAGCCGACCUGAGAGGGUGAUCGGCCACAUUGGGACUGAGACACGGCCCAAACUCCUACGGGAGGCAGCAGUAGGGAAUCUUCGGCAAUGGACGAAAGUCUGACCGAGCAACGCCGCGUGAGUGAAGAAGGUUUUCGGAUCGUAAAACUCUGUUGGUAGAGAAGAACGGUGGUGAGAGUGGAAAGCUCAUCAAGUGACGGUAACUACCCAGAAAGGGACGGCUAACUACGUG
Molecule: ribosomal RNA, 497 nt
Filed under: uncultured bacterium
Lineage: Bacteria
Description: partial 16S ribosomal RNA
Rfam family: Bacterial small subunit ribosomal RNA
Source: RNAcentral